Molecule: unclassified non-coding RNA, 252 nt
Filed under: Hevea brasiliensis (rubber tree)
Lineage: Eukaryota; Viridiplantae; Streptophyta; Magnoliopsida; Malpighiales; Euphorbiaceae
Source: RNAcentral
GAAAUUGUGAAUUUGAGAAGAAAUCAACAUAUUUGCUUCUUCUUCCGCUUCGUGAAUAUGCAUGUGUUUGUGAUUUUGAAUGUCAAAUUAUCACUAUGUAUCUAAACUGUGAAUUGUUCUUGAAUUGUGAACUGAAACCGAAUUAUAAAAUCAAAUUAACCAAAAUUACCUCGGUUUAAUUCAGUUCAAUUAUUUAUAUGGUUUGAUUUAGUUUGGUUUUUAAUUUUAUAUGCAACUCAAUUUUUAAUUUAU